UUUUUUUUUUUUUUUUUUUUGUACUUUAGUUCUUAAAUAUAUGAAACAUAUUUAAGUUUUGUACAAUAGUUGUGAGGGUCUCGAUCCUAUUAUUACAAGCUUACGAUUUUCUGACCCAAUUACAAUGCUGAUAGGAUUGCUAGAUUUAGAUAAAUGUUAAUUAAACCAUUAGAAUCUUCGUAUUUUAUGUCCAUAAUUUGUGACAUAAGAGAAUGUUUGGUAAUGUAGGAUUUAAAUGUCAUAUUUGAUCAAUUUAAACAAAUCAUUGUUGCUUUCUUUUUUAUGUUUAGUCCACAGAUAAAAUUAAAUGUGUGGCACCUAAAAUUAUAUGGUACUAGAAUGUAAUGUUGAAAACCAUAACUUUGAGUAGAAAUUUUUUUUGUUGUUCAAUUUACACCUUUUUUUUUUAACAUUUCUUAACAUAUAUUUCGUGUAUUUGCAUAAAAGCAAAUAGGAUCUUACAAUCCUACAUGUCCAGGCUUGUGAUUUCUAAAACCAUCUGGAACCAAAUUAUAGAAACCAUAUAAAAAUGAGAUGCUAUUUGUUUAGAUUUGAAGUAGUCGUGUAUGUCGUUGCUGGUGGAAACUACACUUGCUGAGUUUUGCACUGUGGUUUUGAUUUUUCCCUAAUUAGAAAUAAUUAAGAAUUCAUGGGCAUUUUCUCGCACAAUUGUUUGCUGGACUACCUAAAAAAAAUUAUUCACUUCUACAAAAUUAUCCUAGUGCCAUUGAUACAAUUGGUUAUUUUUAUUUUUGCUAAUACCUUUUUUUUCCCUGAAAAAAAAACGCAUAAAAUCCCAAAUUCAAGUUCAAGAAAGAACUCUAAAUUUGACAUCAAAAUCGAAACUCUUAUUUCUACAUAGGAAAACUCCAAUGACGAAAAUUCCAAACUAACUCCUUUUAAGUAAAGAGACCCUAGAAUUAUGAAAGAGAAAUGAUUGUUGCUGGACUGCCUUGUGUCCAGCUCCUCCACCUUGUCUAAGGAGGAGAAGAGAAGUUAAAAGGUUUGCUCCAAAACUUAAUUAAAUCCUUCUACCCAGCAAUUUGUCAAGAAAACAACAUAUACCGACCUAAAGAUUUGUUGACCGAUGCCAAUCCAUUGCGCCUAGCCUACCACACUCAUUAGUCUUCUCCUGGGGUUUGUGAUAUGAGUAAUAGUUACAGACGCUACAAAUGGUGGUUCAUAAAGUCUUGAUAAUUUAAAGAAUACUACUAAUCUGAUAGUGUUUUACAUUACAGAGAAAAUAUCCCUACUUGCACAGCUUCUUCUCGUCAUCUGUCUUUGGUGUCUAACACCACCCACAACUUCUCUCUACUCCUGCAUCCACCAUGGCAGCCAUCCACUUUCUAUUACCAAAUCAAUAUCAAUCCACAAAUUCUUGUUAAAUGUAUCAGGGAAUGGUAGAGUGCCACCAUUAAUCAAUUAAAAAUAGGAAAUGUAUAAGAAGAACGUAGGAUGGCAGGUAGGAACUGGGGUAUCAGUAGAGAGAGGCAAGAGAAUUAAAAAAAAAAAAAAAAAGAGAAAAAAAAAAUUAAGGGAGGUGGUGAUAGGCAUACGGAGGAGGCAGAGGAGUAUGGGAUUGCAGGGAAGGGUGUUGGGAAGUUGGAUUUUGGGGAGUAGCAGGAGAGAAGGAAAAUAAAAUGAGAAACAUCUUGGUUGGAUAAAUAUUAACCGGAUUAGCCGGUAACCAUUAUUAGCUGAAGAGGGGUGGGAUUUAAGAAGGGGGAAGGGAUGGAAAUAGCUGCGUAAAGAUGCAAUCUCCUUCGACUGCGUAUAGUGGGAAGUUAC
This 1788-nucleotide long non-coding RNA is filed under the name Coffea arabica (coffee). RNAcentral's name for it is "long non-coding RNA (CARA_LNC001586)". Lineage: Eukaryota; Viridiplantae; Streptophyta; Magnoliopsida; Gentianales; Rubiaceae. The record is from RNAcentral.